This 355-nucleotide unclassified non-coding RNA is filed under the name soil metagenome. RNAcentral describes it as "partial contains 5.8S ribosomal RNA, internal transcribed spacer 2, and large subunit ribosomal RNA". The stretch from base 1 to 120 matches the Rfam family "5.8S ribosomal RNA", at positions 35 to 154 of the family's 154-position model. The record is from RNAcentral.
GAUGAAGAACGUAGUGAAAUGCGAUAAGUAGUGUGAAUUGCAGAAUUCAGUGAAUCAUCGAAUCUUUGAACGCACAUUGCGCCUUCUAGUAUUCUGGGAGGCAUGCCUGUUUGAGCGUCAUUAAACCUCUCUCAAGUAUGAUUACUUGGAUGUGAAGGAAGAGUACCUUAAACUUAAGGAGUGUUCUCCUUUGAAAUUGAUUAGCAGAUGGUAAUGUUAUUAAAUCCCUGACGUUGUAAGAAAUAACAGUGGUUUUGUAGACUAUUAUCUAGCUUUAAAUUAUAAUUUUUAUUAUGGUUGACCUCAAAUCAGGUAAGGAUACCCGCUGAACUUAAGCAUAUCAAUAAGCGGAGGA